GAGAACCUUAAUUAAUGAAAAGAAAAUGUCAAACUAGACAAGCAAUCACAGCUCGAUCGGUACUACAUGUGACUCACGAGCAAGCUAUCUACCUAACAGCACCAGCAAUGCAAAUUAAGUUACUAGCAUCCAAACAAGAGAACCCUACCCUAAGAUAACAGAGAUUGAAACAAGAAGCAAGCUCAUGAGGACCAAGAAAGAGAAAGAAAUUGAAUAUGCUCCUCCUUUGGAUGGGGCUGGAGCUGGGACAAGUCCAUUACUCUCUUCUGAUGGUGGAAGCUCUGGUGAUGAUGAGUCUGGAGGGCCAACUGGUUCUCCAGCUGAAGGAGGCAAAGAGAUGUGACAGUCACUAAUGGGAGGAGCAUGAACCCCACAAUCCGAAGGCAAAAGAGCGGCCCUUGUCAUAUUCACCACGAUCCCCAGUUGAGCACUACUCUUGAGACCUUCACAUAUGCACUUGGGAUUGAUAGCAAUAACAGUUUUCAACCCUUCACAGCACAACGGAUCCAGCUUAUCAUUACUGCCUACGCUCAAAUAGGGCACACAGUCUAUCAUAUCAUAUAUAACAGUGGUACAAUCAUCCUCUGUGGAUGGUGCAGGCGGAAGAAGUGACAAAGGCGAUGGUGCUUUUGCUGUAAUGCGGGAACAGUUGACUACCAUGGCCAGUGUGGCCAAAAUGGAAACUAGAAAAAGAAAUUUCAUAGUUAAAAGAAAUGCAGAGGAGCUAGCUUGUGAAGGUGAAGGUGGUGUUCUUGUUCUGGGUUUAC
Molecule: unclassified non-coding RNA, 767 nt
Filed under: Hevea brasiliensis (rubber tree)
Lineage: Eukaryota; Viridiplantae; Streptophyta; Magnoliopsida; Malpighiales; Euphorbiaceae
Source: RNAcentral